GAUGAAGAACGCAGCGAAAUGCGAUACGUAAUGUGAAUUGCAGAAUUCAGUGAAUCAUCGAAUCUUUGAACGCAUAUUGCGCUCUCUGGUAUUCCGGAGAGCAUGCUUGUUUGAGUAUCAGUAAACACCUCAACUUCCAUAUCUUUUUUGAAAUGGGAGUUGGACUUGAGUGAUCCCAACGCUUUUCCUCACCGAAAAGUGGCGGGUUACUUGAAAUGCAGGUGCAGCUGGACUUUUCUCUGAGCUAUAAGCAUAUCUAUUUAGUCUGCCUAAAAAACAGAUUAUUACCUUUGCUGCAGCUAACAUAAAGGAGAUUAGUUCUUGUGCUGACUGAUGCAGGAUUCACAAAGACAGCUUCGGCCGACUUUGUAAACUCGAUCUCAAAUCAAGUAAGACUACCCGCUGACCUUAAGCAUAUCAAUAAGCGGAGA
Molecule: unclassified non-coding RNA, 431 nt
Filed under: soil metagenome
Description: partial contains 5.8S ribosomal RNA, internal transcribed spacer 2, and large subunit ribosomal RNA
Rfam family: 5.8S ribosomal RNA (bases 1-120)
Source: RNAcentral